Molecule: ribosomal RNA, 1040 nt
Filed under: uncultured bacterium
Lineage: Bacteria
Description: bacterial SSU rRNA
Rfam family: Bacterial small subunit ribosomal RNA
Source: RNAcentral
CUCCUACGGGAGGCAGCAGUGGGGAAUAUUGCACAAUGGGGGAAACCCUGAUGCAGCGACGCCGCGUGGAGGAAGAAGGUCUUCGGAUUGUAAACUCCUGUUGUUGGGGAAGAUAAUGACGGUACCCAACAAGGAAGUGACGGCUAACUACGUGCCAGCAGCCGCGGUAAAACGUAGGUCACAAGCGUUGUCCGGAAUUACUGGGUGUAAAGGGAGCGCAGGCGGGAAGACAAGUUGGAAGUGAAAUCUAUGGGCUCAACCCAUAAACUGCUUUCAAAACUGUUUUUCUUGAGUAGUGCAGAGGUAGGCGGAAUUCCCGGUGUAGCGGUGGAAUGCGUAGAUAUCGGGAGGAACACCAGUGGCGAAGGCGGCCUACUGGGCACCAACUGACGCUGAGGCUCGAAAGUGUGGGUAGCAAACAGGAUUAGAUACCCUGGUAGUCCACACCGUAAACGAUGAUUACUAGGUGUUGGAGGAUUGACCCCUUCAGUGCCGCAGUUAACACAAUAAGUAAUCCACCUGGGGAGUACGACCGCAAGGUUGAAACUCAAAGGAAUUGACGGGGGCCCGCACAAGCAGUGGAGUAUGUGGUUUAAUUCGACGCAACGCGAAGAACCUUACCAAGUCUUGACAUCCUUCUGACCGCACCUUAAUCGGUGCUUUCCUUCGGGACAGAAGAGACAGGUGGUGCAUGGUUGUCGUCAGCUCGUGUCGUGAGAUGUUGGGUUAAGUCCCGCAACGAGCGCAACCCCUAUCUUCAGUAGCCAGCAGGUAAGGCUGGGCACUCUGGAGAGACUGCCAGGGAUAACCUGGAGGAAGGUGGGGACGACGUCAAAUCAUCAUGCCCCUUAUGAUCUGGGCGACACACGUGCUACAAUGGCGGUCACAGAGUGAGGCAAACCCGCGAGGGGGAGCAAACCACAAAAAGGCCGUCCCAGUUCGGACUGUAGUCUGCAACCCGACUACACGAAGCUGGAAUCGCUAGUAAUCGCGAAUCAGAAUGUCGCGGUGAAUACGUUCCCGGGUCUUGUACACACCGC